ACGCGUAAGAACUUGCCUCUUAGACCGGGACAACAUCUGGAAACGGAUGCUAAUACCGGAUAUUAUGGUUUUUUCGCAUGGAGGAAUCAUGAAAGCUAGAUGCGCUAAGAGAGAGCUUUGCGUCCCAUUAGCUCGUUGGUGAGGUAACGGCCCACCAAGGCAAUGAUGGGUAGCCGGCCUGAGAGGGUGAACGGCCACAAGGGGACUGAGACACGGCCCUUACUCCUACGGGAGGCAGCAGUGGGGAAUAUUGGACAAUGGACCACAAGUCUGAUCCAGCAAUUCUGUGUGCACGAUGACGUUUUUCGGAAUGUAAAGUGCUUUCAGUCGGGAAGAAGUCAGUGACGGUACCGACAGAAGAAGCGACGGCUAAAUACGUGCCAGCAGCCGCGGUAAUACGUAUGUCGCAAGCGUUAUCCGGAUUUAUUGGGCGUAAAGCGCGUCUAGGCGGCAAGGAAAGUCUGAUGUGAAAAUGCGGAGCUCAACUCCGUAUGGCGUUGGAAACUGCCUUACUAGAGUACUGGAGAGGUAGGCGGAACUACAAGUGUAGAGGUGAAAUUCGUAGAUAUUUGUAGGAAUGCCGAUGGGGAAGCCAGCCUACUGGACAGAUACUGACGCUAAAGCGCGAAAGCGUGGGUAGCAAACAGGAUUAGAUACCCUGGUAGUCCACGCUGUAAACGAUGAUUACUAGGUGUUGGGGGUCAAACCUCAGCGCCCAAGCUAACGCGAUAAGUAAUCCGCCUGGGGAGUACGUACGGCAGUAUGAAACUCAAAGGAAUUGACGGGGACCCGCACAAGCGGUGGAGCAUGUGGUUUAAUUCGACGCAACGCGA
RNAcentral lists this ribosomal RNA (833 nucleotides) under uncultured Fusobacterium sp. Its description in RNAcentral is "bacterial SSU rRNA". It matches the Rfam family "Bacterial small subunit ribosomal RNA", at positions 113 to 964 of the family's 1533-position model. The record is from RNAcentral. Lineage: Bacteria; Fusobacteriati; Fusobacteriota; Fusobacteriia; Fusobacteriales; Fusobacteriaceae.